CGAGCGGGCCCCGGCGUGCCAUCCCUGAGCUGGCCUUCCGCACAGACUCCCACGCCGGUGCGCAGCAGCUCAGCAGCAGCCUCGCCUGCUGCAUGGCCUCCGGACCUUAAAAGGCUCUGCGCCGCUCAGGAUAGAACUUCAAGAUGGACCUCCUUCUCCAAGAAAGUCUGGGUGUACGUGUGUGAUAGCUCACAAGAGGGCAAAUGCUUUGAGAUUGCCCAUGGAAGUGAAGCCUGUGGUCCUCGCAGAGUCACCAGAGACAGAGACAGAGUGCCAGUGGAGGAGGAGCAGAGAGAGAGGGAGACAGAGAAUCCGAAGCAGGCUCCAGGCUGUCGGCACAGAGUCCGACACGGGGCUCAAACCCACUAACCGUGAGAUCAUGACCUGAGCAGAAGUCAGUUGCCCAAUGGACCGAGCCCCCACAUGUGGCUAUUUUGAAGAGAGAGAGAGCAUGUGCACACGAGCAGGGGAGGAGCAGAGAGAGAGAGGGAGAGAGAGGAUCCAAAGCAGUCUCUGCUCUGAUAGCAGAGCCCAAUGCGGCACUUGAACUCACGAACCUCAAGAUCAUGACCUGAGCUGAAGUCGGAUGCUUAACUGACUGGGCCACCCAGGCACCCUGUCCUCUAUCUUCUUUGAUGCCUUUUGAAUUUUGUAUCCUAUGCAUGUGGUAACAAUUUUGAAAAUGAUAUCCAGGCAAUGGGGAUCCCCUGAAGAAUUUCAGGCAGAAUUUUGCCUGAAAGCAAGGCUGUCAUCGUUAAUGCUGCUGAUCAACUCUUCUGAGUCUUUGAGGGGACCCAGAGUUUCAGUUUCAAGCUUCUAAUGGUCAUCUGUGUCUCUUGACUUGUGGCCCCUUCCUCCACCAUCAAAGGGCAUCGCUCCAAUCUCUGCUAUCAUCAUCACAUCACCUUCUCCUCUGUAGUAAGAGCUCCCUCUGCCUCCCUCUUGACUUCAGAAAAAGCAGCCUAGUGAAGAAUCCAUUUACGUGUCAUUGCCCGGAAACUCCUUAAUCCCUUACCUCACCACCUCCGCAUUCCCAGAAAAAGAAAAGAAAAACAAAAGAGAAAUAAAAAGAAAAAAAAGAAACAAAGUUGUGUAGAUGGACCGGCGAACAGACUGAAAUACUACUGAAAUUACUUCGUUUUGCCCUAGAAGUCAAACUAUGAAAUGCGUUAUAGUCCAUAAACUAAGCAGGCAGAGAGACUUUUGUUCCUGAAGAGAGAGGUUGGCCUUGUUGGGCGGGGCUUAGUGUAACAACUUUGUUCUCCAGUAGAUGGCGCUGCUGAGCUUACUGGGGUGGAUUCUUGUCGCGCUUGUAGGUGUGUAUGCGCAUGCGCGGGACCGAUGAACAUGGCGCCGCCCAGCUACCCGUUCUGUAGUAUUGGAACUGUGAUCUCCCCACCCCAGCAAUAGCGCACCCAUCCUUUGUCUUCCGUCCACUCUGCGCUUUUACACUGUCCCUGACCAAGCCCCAGGCAGCACGUCCCUCCUGAUUCUUGUCUCCGGUGCGGCUGUUUUCCCCUGGCCCCUUACUUGUGAGGGACUGCGGUUUUGACCCCUUCUGCCCUCCUGCGGGAGGGUCUCACGGAGAAAUGGCGGCUGCCAGCUGCACCCAGGAAUAUUUGCGGGACCGGGCUGCUGCCGGUGCCCAGAGACUGUGGCCAGGUGCCAGCCCACCCCAGAAAAAGUUUGUGAGAUAGUAUAGCAGCAGUGUUUCAGGGAUUAUGGCAAAUCACAACAUGCAUCUGGCAUCAGGCUUCACCCCCAACGACUUUGUUCCAGCACCAGCAAAUGUGGUUGUUCUCCCGGGUUCACUGGGGCCUUUUCCUGCGGGGGGCCACACAGCCUCUACCAGAUGUGCUCCCAGCAGGAGAAUCACCUGUCCCCGCGUGGCCUGAAGACCACCAGACUUCACUCUGCUCCUGGGGAUUCGCCCUUCCCACCAGAGCACCACCAGGUAUUGAGCUGUGGAGUUUCAGGCUUUGCGCUCCCCGUUUAUAGAGUCUUAAUGGAACUUAAACCCUCUCCUUUCUCCUUUCUCCUUUUUUAGUUCAGUCCCUGCGGCUGUUUCAACUUUUCCACUUUCUCUCCAACUGCUUUUGGCGGGGGCGGGGGGGUGGGGGUGGGAAUGUGCUUUUUCCAUAUUCUCCCCACCGUCUCAGUCCUUUCUCCACACGCAAAAACUGCCCCUGUCUUCCAUGGCUUCUCUCUCCCCCAGUUCACCUCUCCGCACCGUGUACCUGGUGAGUUCUGUGGUUCAGGUUGUGCAGAUUAUUGUGUUAAUCCUCAAAUCAGUUUUCUAGGUGUGCAGGAUGGUUUAAUGUUGAUCUGGCUGUAUUUCAUGCACGCGAGACACACAAAAAACUUCCAUGUUGUUCUGCCAUCUUGGCUCCUCCCUGGUCCAUUUUUAAUUGGGUUGUUUGUUUUCUUACUGUUGAAUUUUAAGAGUUCUUUGUAUAUUUUGGAUAACAGUCCUCUAUCAGAUGUGCUUUUGCAAAUAUUUUCUCCCAGUGGGUGCCUUGUCUUCUAAUUCUCUUGAUACUGUGUUUUGUGGAGCAGAAAUUUUUUUUUAUUUUAACUAAGUCCACCUUAUUGAUUAUUUCUUUCAGGGAUCACUCACUCCCCACAAACCAUGCUGACCUUGAAAUAUUAAAAAUAUAAACUUUUGCUUCCCAGGAAA
Molecule: long non-coding RNA, 2677 nt
Organism: Neofelis nebulosa (Clouded leopard)
Lineage: Eukaryota; Metazoa; Chordata; Mammalia; Carnivora; Felidae
Exons: 9
Source: RefSeq, a predicted model, not a curated record